Notolabrus celidotus (New Zealand spotty) is the source of this 483-nucleotide long non-coding RNA. RefSeq lists it as uncharacterized. The record is from RefSeq and is a predicted model, not a curated record. The transcript is spliced from 2 exons. Lineage: Eukaryota; Metazoa; Chordata; Actinopteri; Labriformes; Labridae.
UAGAGGAGGAAUGAGGGACAUCUGACCAUAUUGAAGUCUCCCUGUCAAAAUAAAACAAACACAAGCAGAACAAAUACAGUAUCAGGCUGAAGGAAUGACACCACUGUGAGUCCAGAGAGAACAGAUUUUACAACCACUCACCGUACACUACCAACAUCUGCACAUCCGCUUCUCCACAGGAGUCAGGAACACAAAUACCCACAAAGUACUGGGCUGUUCCCUGUGGAACACCUGGCAGUACUGUCCUGAGAAUGUGGGGCCAUGAGCAGAGCGACACUGCUGCAGCAAGCCAGGCUGGUUGGUGUUACCUCCCUCAACGUUGCUGCCCAUCUUUCCGAAUGAAUCAUACACUGAACCAGGAUACAAACAGGAACAACAAUUCAAAGUGUGUUGCCAAAAAAACCUCUUCAUAGUGUUACUGACCAUGGACUAUCAUUUUGAUCAUUUCUUAAGACAUUUAAGUAUGUUAACAUUGCACUAAAA